This 259-nucleotide long non-coding RNA is filed under the name Capsicum annuum. RNAcentral describes it as "long non-coding RNA (CANN_LNC017403)". Lineage: Eukaryota; Viridiplantae; Streptophyta; Magnoliopsida; Solanales; Solanaceae. The record is from RNAcentral.
GCGAGUUCUGGGCUCUAAGUCUAUGAAGAAGUCAAAUUCAUGGUCUAGAGACAUACCAGGAAAGUUAUCAGAAAAUACCUUAAAGAAUUUACAUACAACUGGGAUUGACACUAAAAGAGGAACUACAAAAUUAUCUUUUCGAAAAUGGAAUAAAAAUUCCCUACCCCCCCUAUUUUUUAAUUUCUGGGCACAAAUAGCUAAUACAAUUCUUACAUGAGCAUGCUUAAAGUACCUUUUCGCUCUAGCUUUUCUAUCCUCA